CCUGCCUCCUCCCCGACCCUUUGGAGUCUGGUGAACUCCAAAUGCUUGCCCACAUGCGGGUCCCAUGCCUGAAAUGUGUGGCUCUGUUCACUUGCUGCAGCCUGAGAGAAGGACAGAAUAGAUUGGCAAGUAACGUCAUCUGACCCAUCUCAUCAAUCAUUAUUCAAAUCACACAGGCUCACUUGAUAAAAUAAGUUGAAUUGGAUAAGACUCUUUCCAAGAUAUCA
Molecule: long non-coding RNA, 227 nt
Filed under: Elaeis guineensis (African oil palm)
Lineage: Eukaryota; Viridiplantae; Streptophyta; Magnoliopsida; Arecales; Arecaceae
Description: long non-coding RNA (EGUI_LNC019375)
Source: RNAcentral